RNAcentral lists this ribosomal RNA (359 nucleotides) under uncultured Nostoc sp. Its description in RNAcentral is "bacterial SSU rRNA". It matches the Rfam family "Bacterial small subunit ribosomal RNA", at positions 524 to 881 of the family's 1533-position model. The record is from RNAcentral. Lineage: Bacteria; Bacillati; Cyanobacteriota; Cyanophyceae; Nostocales; Nostocaceae.
UACGGAGGAUGCAAGCGUUAUCCGGAAUGAUUGGGCGUAAAGCGUCCGCAGGUGGCGAUGUAAGUCUGCUGUUAAAGAGUCUAGCUCAACUAGAUAAAAGCAGUGGAAACUACAUAGCUAGAGUGCGUUCGGGGCAGAGGGAAUUCCUGGUGUAGCGGUGAAAUGCGUAGAGAUCAGGAAGAACACCAGUGGCGAAGGCGCUCUGCUAGGCCGUAACUGACACUGAGGGACGAAAGCUAGGGGAGCGAAUGGGAUUAGAUACCCCAGUAGUCCUAGCCGUAAACGAUGGAUACUAGGCGUGGCUUGUAUCGACCCGAGCCGUGCCGUAGCUAACGCGUUAAGUAUCCCGCCUGGGGAGU